CCGCGUGAGUGAUGAAGGCCUUAGGGUCGUAAAGCUCUUUCGCUGGGGAAGAUAAUGACGGUACCCAGUAAAGAAACCCCGGCUAACUCCGUGCCAGCAGCCGCGGUAAUACGGAGGGGGUUAGCGUUGUUCGGAAUUACUGGGCGUAAAGCGCGCGUAGGCGGAUCAGAAAGUUGGGGGUGAAAUCCCGGGGCUCAACCUCGGAACUGCCUCCAAAACUCCUGGUCUUGAGUUCGAGAGAGGUGAGUGGAACUCCGAGUGUAGAGGUGAAAUUCGUAGAUAUUCGGAAGAACACCAGUGGCGAAGGCGGCUCACUGGCUCGAUACUGACGCUGAGGUGCGAAAGUGUGGGGAGCAAACAGGAUUAGAUACCCUGGUAGUCCACACCGUAAACGAUGAAUGCCAGUCGUCGGGUAGCAUGCUAUUCGGUGACACACCUAACGGAUUAAGCAUUCCGCCUGGGGAGUACGGUCGCAAGAUUAAAA
This 484-nucleotide ribosomal RNA is filed under the name Pelagibaca sp. RNAcentral describes it as "bacterial SSU rRNA". It matches the Rfam family "Bacterial small subunit ribosomal RNA", at positions 397 to 899 of the family's 1533-position model. Lineage: Bacteria; Pseudomonadati; Pseudomonadota; Alphaproteobacteria; Rhodobacterales; Roseobacteraceae. The record is from RNAcentral.